RNAcentral lists this long non-coding RNA (1025 nucleotides) under Oreochromis niloticus (Nile tilapia). RNAcentral describes it as "lncRNA (ENSONIG00000030222.1)". The record is from RNAcentral. Lineage: Eukaryota; Metazoa; Chordata; Actinopteri; Cichliformes; Cichlidae.
AUGAAAAGAACACCAGGCAGAUGGUGUGUUCUAAAGAAGAAGGCAGGGGCAGAGAGAGACAAGGGGAGGGGCAAGAAAGAAGGAGGAGGAGAGGGAGAAGACAACACCACGCCCACACACUCCCACAGCCUCACAGGAUGCAACAUUCCCCCCCAGAUUGUCAGUCCCUUUCUUGUGCUGGAUAACCAGAUCAUAAUCCUGCACCAGCACUGCCCAGCGCAUCAGUCGCUGGUUGUGGUCGUACAUGCGUUGGAGGAAAGUAAGGGGAUUGUGAUCUGUAUACACCGUUACUGGAAAGGAGCUAGAGGCCACAUACACAGUGAAGUUUCAGACCACUUAUAAAAUGUGUUCAAUGUGCUGCCUAUUGUGUUGGAUUGUCAAUGCAACCCUCUUCUCCCACUCUUCACACACUGAUAGCAACACCGCAGGAGAAAUGCCAGCACAGGCAUCCAGUAUCCGUAGUUUCAGGUGCUGCACAUCUCGUAUCUUCACACCAUAGACAAUUGCCUUCAGAUGACCCCCAAAGAUAAAAGUCUAAGGGGGUCAGAUUGGGAGACCUUGGGGGCCAUUCAACUGGCCCACGACGACCAAUCCACUUUCCAGGAAACUGUUCAUCUAGGAAUGCUCAGACCCAGCACCCAUAAUGUGGUGGUGCAACAUCUCGCUGGAAAAACUCAGGGAACGUGCCAGCUUCAGUGCAUAAAGAGGGAAACACAUCAUCAUGUAGCAAUUUCAAAUAUCCAGUGGCCUUGAGGUUUCCAUUGAUGAAGAAUGGACCCACUAUCCACUAUAACUAAAUGUAUUGUUUGCAUGUGAAAAUGUUAAUAACUAGCUGGGAUUUGUUUAUGAGCAGUAAUUUUUCAAAUCUUUUCUUUUGCCCUAUCAGCACUGAUGGUGGUUAAAUCAAUCAAGUUUACAUCUCUGGCACCAAAGGUAACGAUGAAGGCAAAUGUGUGUCCUGAUCUAUGACAUUCAGCUCGAUGGUGAUUUACUCUGACCAGUAGAACACCAGUAGAAACCUUCAU